AUGAACGCUGGCGGCGUGCCUAAUACAUGCCAGUCGAGCGAACAGACGAGGAGCUUGCUCCUCUGACGUUAGCGGCGGACGGGUGAGUAACACGUGGAUAACCUACCUAUAAGACUGGGAUAACUUCGGGAAACCGGAGCUAAUACCGGAUAAUAUAUUGAACCGCAUGGUUCAAUAGUGAAAGACGGUUUUGCUGUCACUUAUAGAUGGAUCCGCGCCGCAUUAGCUAGUUGGUAAGGUAACGGCUUACCAAGGCAACGAUGCGUAGCCGACCUGAGAGGGUGAUCGGCCACACUGGAACUGAGACACGGUCCAGACUCCUACGGGAGGCAGCAGUAGGAAUCUUCCGCAAUGGGCGAAAGCCUGACGGAGCAACGCCGCGUGAGUGAUGAAGGUCUUCGGAUCGUAAAACUCUGUUAUUAGGGAAGAACAAAUGUGUAAGUAACUAUGCACGUCUUGACGGUACCUAAUCAGAAAGCCACGGCUAACUACGUG
This 495-nucleotide ribosomal RNA is filed under the name uncultured bacterium. Its description in RNAcentral is "partial 16S ribosomal RNA". It matches the Rfam family "Bacterial small subunit ribosomal RNA", at positions 29 to 507 of the family's 1533-position model. The record is from RNAcentral.